CAACAGAUCUGAGCCCCGAACACAUGGAGUACAUUCCUUAUAUAGCACUAUAGUGCCUCCCAUAAAUAGCUACACCCACACAUACCAUUAACCAAUCAAUGAACAGAGUCUAGACUUGUUCAUCCGGUCUAACCACGUGGCUCAUCCGAAACAAAGGAGAAGGGAGUGUGAUUUUAGUUCCUACAUUCCUGCACCUGCUCAGUACAUUGAUGACAGUAUCUUAGCUACGUGUAACUAACUGAUACUACAAACACAUGUACCUACAUAUGCCACGUGACAAUCUUGGCCUACUAAACUUUUAUUUUACUGGAAUUCCAUCACAAAACUAAUGAAACUUUCUGUGUUCUAUUAAAAAUGUUUUAUGACUGCCUUCUUCUUGGCGACCUUGAGUGGCGGACAUGUUUCCUUCUGCUAAAACAACUAUUAAUGCAUGGGACAUUUUGUGUAAAUUGUAAAGAUGAUUCUGACACUCGUAUUUUAAAUGAAAUGGUACAACUGUUGCAUGAACAUUGUAAUGUUUCUGACCAGGAUUCGGACUUCAAACAAUUGGCAAUAUCAAAUUUAAAAAAAUAUAUAUUUUUCCAGUCCUGGACAAAAACGUCCCAUCUUCUUAUGCUAUACCUAUUUUGCUGGUGAGGUAGGCCCUAAAUUGGAUUGCAUGCUGAAAUGGGAGAGUGAGCUGGGUUGGGAAUUUGAAGUUGAAGACUGGCAUACCUCUUUACUAACAUGGAAGGCAUUGCACAAUGUACAUCACACAUAGAAACACAUUACAAACUAAUAUACAGAUGGUACCUUACACCUUCUAGACUGUUUAAAU
Molecule: non-coding RNA, 817 nt
Organism: Pelobates cultripes (western spadefoot toad)
Lineage: Eukaryota; Metazoa; Chordata; Amphibia; Anura; Pelobatidae
Source: the annotation of a GenBank genome assembly